AGAAAUCCUAGGCCUCUCUCAGAGAUAUCUCUCAAUAAUUCAAGGACCUUCUUUCAUUUCACUCGGCCCUCUCUUCCCAUUUCUCUCAGACCUCUCUCUCUUUAAGAUAAAAAAAAAAAAACAAAUAGCUCUCAUCGGCGCCGUCUCUCUCUCGAAACUCUCAUCUCUCUCCUUUCUCUCUGCACCGAGACCCACAUACACACACACACACCAUCGCACCUGCUUGAGGAAGACACCCAUCGUUAUCAGCAACCUCGUCUUUCUCCCUUUCCUUCUCGUCUCCGCAACUCGGCGACGCAGGAACCCUCCGACGAGUUUCUUGAAUUUCUC
This 330-nucleotide long non-coding RNA is filed under the name Malus domestica (apple). RNAcentral describes it as "long non-coding RNA (MDOM_LNC010915)". The record is from RNAcentral. Lineage: Eukaryota; Viridiplantae; Streptophyta; Magnoliopsida; Rosales; Rosaceae.